GAUGAACGCUGGCGGCGUGCCUAAUACAUGCAAGUCGAGCGAACGGACGAGAAGCUUGCUUCUCUGAUGUUAGCGGCGGACGGGUGAGUAACACGUGGAUAACCUACCUAUAAGACUGGGAUAACUUCGGGAAACCGGAGCUAAUACCGGAUAAUAUUUUGAACCGCAUGGUUCAAAAGUGAAAGACGGUCUUGCUGUCACUUAUAGAUGGAUCCGCGCUGCAUUAGCUAGUUGGUAAGGUAACGGCUUACCAAGGCAACGAUGCAUAGCCGACCUGAGAGGGUGAUCGGCCACACUGGAACUGAGACACGGUCCAGACUCCUACGGGAGGCAGCAGUAGGGAAUCUUCCGCAAUGGGCGAAAGCCUGACGGAGCAACGCCGCGUGAGUGAUGAAGGUCUUCGGAUCGUAAAACUCUGUUAUUAGGGAAGAACAUAUGUGUAAGUAACUGUGCACAUCUUGACGGUACCUAACCAGAAAGCCACGGCUAACUACGUG
RNAcentral lists this ribosomal RNA (497 nucleotides) under uncultured bacterium. RNAcentral describes it as "partial 16S ribosomal RNA". It matches the Rfam family "Bacterial small subunit ribosomal RNA", at positions 28 to 507 of the family's 1533-position model. The record is from RNAcentral.